RNAcentral lists this ribosomal RNA (465 nucleotides) under uncultured bacterium. RNAcentral's name for it is "partial 16S ribosomal RNA". It matches the Rfam family "Bacterial small subunit ribosomal RNA", at positions 28 to 507 of the family's 1533-position model. The record is from RNAcentral.
GACGAACGCUGGCGGCGUGCUUAACACAUGCAAGUCGAACGGAAAGGCCCCUUUGGGGGUACUCGAGUGGCGAACGGGUGAGUAACACGUGAGUAACCUGCCCUUGACUUCGGGAUAACUUCAGGAAACUGGGGCUAAUACCGGAUAGGAAUCCUUUCUGCCUGGUGGGGGUUGGAAAGCUUCGGUGGUUUUGGAUGGACUCGCGGCUUAUCAGCUUGUUGGUGGGGUAGUGGCUUACCAAGGCUUUGACGGGUAGCCGGCCUGAGAGGGCGACCGGCCACAUUGGGACUGGGAUACGGCCCAGACUCCUACGGGAGGGAGCAGUGGGGAAUAUUGCACAAUGGGCGGGAGCCUGAUGCAGCAAAGCCGCGUGCGGGAUGACGGGCUUCGGGUUGUAAACCGCUUUCAGCAGGGGCGAAGCUUGUGGUGACGGUACCUGCAGAAGAAGCACCGGCUAACUACGUG